Long non-coding RNA from Oryzias melastigma (Indian medaka), 8714 nucleotides. RefSeq lists it as uncharacterized. Lineage: Eukaryota; Metazoa; Chordata; Actinopteri; Beloniformes; Adrianichthyidae. The record is from RefSeq and is a predicted model, not a curated record. The transcript is spliced from 2 exons.
AAAUUUAUUUUAGAAAAAACUACUUUUCAACCAUAAAGUAAUCAGUUCUUCUAUGUUGUACUUUUCAUCUGCAGACACAUUUAAAGGAUUUCCUUACAUGUUGUCCUCUGAGGUGAGUUGUCUAUAUGUAACAAAAACAAUAUGACAAUUUAAACUUAAUUUCUCCCAGGACAUAAGAAGCGUAAGUCAAUCUUUAUUACUUCUUGGCUUAAAAUCAAGACUAAACACAAAACGGUGCCGUAAUGAGAUGAGGACCAAUAGUACAAUAUUUGACGUACUGUGAUCCUUUUUUUCUCACUAAUAAACUGGAUUCAUCCAUCUGCUACAUAAAGAUGUGUCGCCUUUGCUGUGUUUGUUCUCUUACAUAAGUUAAAGGAACACAUGCUUGUAGCCACAUUUGUAUUUAGAAGCUCAUUAAAGAUCCUCUGGAAAGAAAAAAAAGGAGAAAGGCUCACAAACCCAAUAUGUUUUCCUUUUUACACAUGAGAAAGACCAGAAAAAAUAGCUUCCUGCAUUGAAUUCCUUUUGUGCAACUCCAACAAUUAACUUCAACACAUAAAUAUGUAUUGAUCGCUUGAUGUAUGCACGCAGAUAUACUAUUUUUAUUACUUUUUUCUUCAAAUGAACCACAUAAAUUGUUCUUAGCAAUGACUUAAAAGAAAAAAAAAAUGAAUCACCUCCUUAAUGCUUUUCUUUUGAAAAGCAGGAGACCUAAGCACAUGGACUUCAUUUCAGACAGGUGUACCAGACAGGCUAUUCUGCCAAAUCUAUUAGGGGGUUGGGGUGUCAUGCACCUUUAAAAGUCGCUGGUCCCCUGUAGAGGCUGUGUUGGUAGCUUCCUAUUUCAAGGUUGAGAAGCUUAGCCGAACACAGACAGCCACCAUUGUGUGCCCGGAUAAUGCACUUCAGUCAUCCUUAAUGUCCUCAGAAAGGCUCAGAAGCUGAGGGGGCUUUAUUUACACCCCACAUCCAAGGACAAAUAUGGAACUUUAAUAGUCAGAUUAAGCCAUUUUAUUGUUUUAUACACUAAACGGGACAAGCUUUAUUUAAAAAUAGGUUGUGUUAAUGGGGAUGAAAAUAGCUGCCUUUACUGUAUAUAUGUUGGUUUUUGUCUGUGGAAACUAUAAAGCAGCCAAAUCUAGGAUAAAAGUGAUAAAAAAAUAGCUUUACUAAUAAAUAUUUUUGGUAAUAAUUCUGAGACAACACCUAAAGAGUCCUGCGUGUGAUAAUCAGUUCCAUACAUUGGCCAGCGGUGAGAUGUUAAAUGCCUAAUUGACCACAGUAAUGGUGCAUAGCUGUGUGAUGGUGCACGAUGGAGACAUGCAUAUUAAGAAACAAUUAAUUUCCAAUACUAAUGUCACUCAUGGCUGCCUCUGCAACAGCAUAUAACAAGGAGCUGUCAGAGAUAAAUCAUUUCACUCUCCAUGUGCUGAAAGAUUUGAUCCAGGCUCCAAAAAGCCAAAAGUCUGACUAUUGUUGAAUAGAGGGGCAUUUAUGUGUUUUUUGAGGCGGCAGAGUCGAAUGCACAGCCUGUAUGGAUUUUUCAGCUUGUAGCCUCAGAGACAAACUUGCUUUAGUAUUUAUUGUGCUAUAUUUGUAGCUCUGUGAAACUAAGCAGGCUAUCAGGUCAAGUCCUUUUCUGCAAAGAUAUAAUAGAAAAUCAAUUUUAAAUAAACACAUUGAUUUAAUCAGUUAUUUUUUUGUUAUAUCUAUCAAUUUGUGUGUUGCACAUUUUUUUUAAUUACCUCAAUGUUUUUUUACACUUAUAGAAGAAAAAGAACAAACAUUUGUUUUACAUUUUCCUUUAUGAAUUAAACCUUUUUAUUUAGAUACCAAGUAAUUAUUGAGAAAGGUGUUUUUUUUUUUUUUUUUUUUUAUACACAGUUGCUAAGCUAAGUAAAAAUAAAUAAAAAUACUAAAAAGUAAUUAAAUGGUGCGGUUGUCUUUAGUUCUCACAGAUCAAGCCAAAGCAGCUCACAUACCAAACUGGCACUCCUAAAUCCGGUGAAUAAUAAUGUGUCAGGCAGAAAUGAAAGUUCUGUCUGUUCCAUGAUGGUGAAUUUCACACAUCUCUCCAGCGUGGAAUAGAAAAGUCACCGAGAAAAGAUGAGGCUGUGUGAAUGGAGUCUUUGAGAAAGUCUCACAAAUCCAAAUGAAUGGCAACGUUUUGGAGGCUUCAGUUCUCCUCCUCUGCCGUUUGAUCCUAAUUUUUUUUAGGUGGAUCUCGUACUGAAAUGUGGCUAAACACAAACUUUUAUAUAAUUAAGCUGGUUCUGGCUCACAGCCUCAAAACGGGCCUUAUGGUGAUUAAAGGCAAAUGCUUGACCUGACCUCUUUUUUUUUAAACGCUGACAGAGUAGCAGUGCUACAGACGAAGGGGAUGAAUUUAGCAUUUUUUCAAAGGGGUCAGUCAUGAGCCUUUGGAAGUUUUCCUUUUUUCUUUGCAGAGGUCAUCAAAUGGUUAAAUCCCCUGUCUCUCGAGCUAAAUGCUCUUCUUGUCUUGGGACUCGAUCCCUGCAGAGUUUUCCCUCCCAUGUUUUUCAUUCACUUUCUCCCUCAACGCUCAACAAGCUAAAUAAAGAUUAGAAAACACAAGAAGGAAUCGGUGCCCUUACUGUAAGAGAAAAUCGUUCGGAGAUGGCGAGAGUUUGCCCCUUUCAUCACUCAAAAUAAAGAAAAAGAUGUAAUCAAUACAGGGUCGGCGGCAAUAACAUUUAGAAAAAGAUGCCACAGUAAACAGGUUGAAAGAAGUAUAUGUUUUUGGUCUUUUGGGUUAAAUUCUUUCAAUUCACUUGAUGUAAAUGAAAUUAAAAUGCGAAAAAGAAAAUCUAUAUCUAUUACUCCAUUAUCGCAGCAGUUCACUGGUGUCAGCCAUUUUGUGGAAAAGCUUGUUUUUCCAGACUAAAACUCUAGAUGAAAUAUAUUGAGUUGUAAGGUAAUGAAAUGAAUAUGACAUUUGAGUCUUUGUUUAGGUAUAAAAAAGUAAGCAGUAAUUACACCGUGGCGCGGUCAUGCAAAGAUCUGAAGAACUGUGAUUGCGUUCAUGCUUCUGGACCUGGCUUCAGAAAGCAUUAAUGGAAAAUUCUGUUGGGCUGCGUCUGUGCUCCGUCUUGUCUGAAAACAUUUCGGCCGUGCGCUCGUGUCCUUGUAAUUAUUUUGGAGAGCAUAUUUGGUUUAACAAGAGCUUAGCCAAUGAGCCAAGACAGGACAUGUUGCAGGCAUCGUCCCUAUGACUAACUUCCACAUGACACCGUGUUCUUUGAGCUGAUAGAUGCAGGGUGGCAGCCUGAAGCAGUGGGCUUUGCCACUGCAGAAGAAUCAGACAUGAUUGGUGCUGUGGAAAAAGCUGACAGCAUGAAUUAUGAAAGUCCUAUUAGAAGCUGUAGGAAAUGAUUUAUGUUGCUAAAAAAAAUAAAAAAAAAAUAUGGUCAUCCGAAGACAUUCGUCUCCAUGGUUACAGAGUCCAUAUUGUGUUUUGCCCAUUUAAUUUCUUAGGUGUGUCGUUCCUCAUUUAUUAUUGAGGAAUUUCCAUGGAUGUCGAACCAUGACUCUAUUAAAUGGAAGGUCACUCUGCAGUAUGCCAAACAAAAUGGCUCAGGAAAAGACAAGAUGCAUUGCUUGGCGUGGCGGUGCCAGGCUUGGCAGUUCGUGUGACUGCCAGGUUAUCUGCUGGGCUCGGAUUUUUCUGUACUGAUGCCAAGAGUUGCUGUUACAGUUUCCCAGUGUCCCUUAGCGGAGCAUUGUUGCAAAGCAGAAGAUAAUUAUGUAAAAUCAUCAAGAUGCUGGGUUAUUCCAUGAGUGGAAAUGAAACUUCUAACUAAAUAGCCACGUCUCACGGGCAUUCAAUUAAAUGCUCCAGAUAAAACUCCCAGAUUUAGAGAACACUUCAGCGUUAUGCUUUGUAAACCAGUCAUAUAUUUUACACUUCUUUCUAUAAAGAGAUUUCAUUAGUAGCCCGCUUUCAUCCUUGUUGCUGCACAGUACUCCUUUCAGUUGCAUCCCUGCAGCAGCCCCACUUUUAGUCACGGGUGGCUCAGCAGUGUCGCUGUUUUAAAAAGGGUAGUGAUUUUGCAAGCUGCAAUCUUGGCAUUGCUCUCACUUUAAGUGGUCCAUAGGCGGAUCCAUUUUUGAUAGCAUAAUGCAGCUGAAGGGGGAGCAGGACAAACUGUCCAGCAAACGCCAAACGUCAAGCAAAUUUCUAUUUUUCUUCUUUCUUUACUAAUCAAAUUUAGAUUUAUUUAUUUUUUAUUAAAAAAAUGUUGUUGUUUUUUAAAUGACUUUAAAUUUAGUUGUAGUGUUUAGUAGGUGGAAUCUGCACUCUAACAAUGUGGCUUUUUAAAGGUUUGCAGGAGUCGAAAUCAUGUGAGCGUAGACUGCCAGAGCCUUUACUUGAAGUGUGAGGGGGAGAAAAAAAAAAGGAGGAACGAUCUGCUCAGAGAGGCCAGCAACAGGGCUUCUUGAUUCAGUGCUUUGAUAACGUCAGAGCUCCAUCUAGGUUGCCUUGCGAGGUACUGCUCAAUAACCUUGUGAUUUAACAUUGUGCUGUAAAUUAUCAGCGCACUCUCCCAUAGCCACCGAUUUGCCUACACAUCUGUAAUACCAAAUGCAUCUAUUUAGAGUGCGAUGCAUUCGCAGCGCUCGUCUCACUACGUCCCCUGCAUUUUUAGGUGGGUUUGCAUGACUUUUCAAUGGGGUGCAGAGGCAGUUGUGCAGAAUUCUAAUUUGGCUUCAAUCUCAGAGUCAACAGGAAGCAAACAGAUGGCCGAAGGAAUAUGAUGGAUAAUUGUACGUCUCAGAGGACAAUUCGUAAUUUGUAUCUGAUUCCUUGCGACCCCCUCAUUUUCCUAAUGAGGGACUAAUUGAGUUUUUACAUAGGCUCAAGCAUAUGGUCCCACCAAUAGUGAGGAGGCUGCCUGACAGUAAAGAGAUGUGUUGAGGACAUCAUUGCUGAUUUCUAAGUACUGCCUAAAUGGCAAAAGCUGAAGAACAUUUUAAAUCUCCUUAAGAAGUGGAAAUACAUUCAUGUGUUUUCAUCUUCAUUCUGUCAUCAUUACAUUGUCAGUCAUUGCUAUUUUUCUUUUAUUUUUAUGUUUUUUUUUCAGUAAAAAGUCACUUUUUAGCCCUUACUGUGUUUGAUAAAUCAAAUAGGAAUGCUUACUUUAAGUUUAAAACAGUAGUUAUACAAUUUUAGGUCAGUUUUUAGAUUUCAAAUGGUCAUGUGUUGCAAUUUAUCCUUUAUUUUUGCUUUUUAAUGUUUUAAUUUCCUUUAUUUUUGUAUUGCUACCACUGUCAAUUGAAAUAAUGUGUCUUUUACAAGGAAAACAUUCACAAAAAAAAAAAAAAGCAUUAUUUUUUCUACAUUUAAGCAUGGAUCGUAAAUGCACUAUCAGGUGAAAAUGUUCUGUUAUUACUAACAAAUGUCGACCAAGACUUAAAAAAAUGACACAAAUAUUUAUGUAAAGGCUUUUCCAUGGUUUGACAUAGUUUCUAUUAUAAUUCAUGACUUGACAGGGGCGGAGCUAUGGGGGGCAUUUGAGGGCAGCUGCCGUCCUCCCCCCUCAUUUUUGAGUCAACACUAGUAUCACUAUUGACAAAGAUUGAGAAAUUAUUAAUAGAAGCUUCUAUACACAUGGCAAAAUGGGAAAAUCAAUAAUUUUAAAAUGAAAUAAAAUGAAUAACACCAUGAAAACUGUUAGAAAUACUUUUUUUGUCUAAUUGGGCUUCCACUCUGGUGUUUUGCCACCCUUUCAAAGUCUUCUGCCCCACUCCCUAUAUCAAAUGUCCUAGCUGUGUCUUGAACAGGAAAAAAAAAUCUUGAUACAAGUGAAAAUGUACCUUAAACAAGCCAAACAUAAAGAAAGUGUAGAGUAAAAUUGACCAGCAUUUUUCAGUUGCAUUGACUUCGCUCUAACUGUUGAGUAAUGGAUCACAGACAAGUGCAGGUUAGGGAGCUAUUCCUCUUCCUUGUGUGUUUGAGUCGUUGUCUCUAUUUCAGGGACUUACACUUUUAAAAGUGCAGCGACAAUGGAGUGCCUCUCGUGAAAACCUGCAUUUGUGCCAGUCAGUCAGAAUUGCACGCAGGGCAGUAAGUGAAGCACCCCUGAUAGAAGCUACUCAUAGGGACUUCUGAGUAAAGGCUCAUUUCAUGCAAGGUUAGACACAUCAGUCAUUGGACAUGGGGUUGGCUUUUACUGCCUUUCAAUAAAAUUACACAUGGAACGUGUCCAUGCAGUGAAGAGGAACCUGGAAAUUAAAUGUCUUCUACUAGAUUCUCAGCGGUGGGCGUGAUCUCUGUCAGUCGAAGCUUUCAAUUCAGCACAUACAGUGGAUCAAAGCCUCGGAGAUAACAGGGGUUACAGAUCUAGGAAUUGUUCAUUCAAUCUGUUCUUGAUCUAACCAAGACUUUGUUUAAAGCUUCAAAGAUUUAGGACAAAUGCCCAAACUCUACAUCUAUUUAAUAUAGGCUUUUAAGUUUACUUUUAUAGGAUAUAUAUGUUAAUCACAUUUUAAAUUGGUAAUAGAGUAUUUUGGAUAGAACAGAAAAUUUCAGUCUGUUGAUUUAUCAAAUGUAGCUUUUAAAUAUUUACAAUAAUUGAAUUAUAACAAUGUUAAUAUUUUUUUCAAAACACAAUUUUAACUCAUUUUACUUUUGAUAGCUGCACAUACAAGUUCCUUUCAAAAUAAAAAAAAAAACACCAGGUGUCAAAAAAGACCUUCCUGCUUUAUUUACAUGAAUUUAAAAAAAAAGCUAAAAUCAAACAUGUAAUUUUCUAUCUUUAUGACUUUAGAGCACCAUCAUGCCCUUUUUCUAUUAUUAUUUUCUAUUAUUUAUUAUUAUUAUUAAAAGGAUAUGGGCUUAUUUUAUUUAUUUUUUAUUAAUAAACCACUAUGACAAAAUGUUGCCAUCAUUUUGCUCAUUCUGAGAUAGUAAAAAUCUAAACAUAAAUGACAAGACUUUAGUAACUAAAAUUAACCAAAUUAUACUACAAAUUAAUUGAAAUUAUUAGAAUUAUUCUUUAAACCAAAGAGCCACAAUAGUGGAAUGAACCUCUUGUAGAGACGCUUUAACGUGUUUGACACUACUCCUAUUAGUAGCUCCUUUCUUUGACCAAUUAUGAUUUUAAUCAAAAGUUAUUACAUUUAGAAUCAUUAUUUUAGCAAAAAAUCUAACAAAUUUAGUUGUUUUCUUGGUCAUAGGAUCUGCAGAGUGACAGUAAUUCUUUAGUAAUCCGCCUCUGGAUUAUGAGCGGUAGCAGAGCAACCCCGCCCCCCUUCCCAUUGCUGAUAGCGCGGAGGAAGAAGAUUGUGUAGCCCACCCAGCAAAUCUGCUACGGCACAAAUACAUUAUUUUUCAAAUGGCAUUUUUUCAUCUACUUCUGAUUAACAAUAACUUGUAUAGAAAAAUAGUCAUAUAUGCAAUUUUGAGCUUUAUUUUCUUAUUCUAUGCCAUCCAUCUUCAGAGGAAUACUACAAGAAAAUGUUAAAAACACCAAAAGCUCAAUUUUUAUCAAAGUGGCUCUUUAGGCAGACGUUUUUGUCUUCUAUCUAUUCUUCGGAGGCUAUACUUCAGUUAAAGAUUUUUUAUUGUUUCAAUUGCUCUUCAACUGCCAUGGCUAUUUCUGUUUCUGCAUGCGGUUCCGAGCUUUGCUAACAGAUGGACUCCUGCAGAUCGGUUUCCAAAGCUCAUUGGAAUAAAAGAGUUAUUUUCUUUUUCCCCUUUCAGAGUGGCCAGGCAUAUUUCAUGCUUAGUGGAAUAAGACGGUUUAUUUCCCUUUCCUUUUAGAAAGGCCAGGCGUAUCUCAAGAAAAGAUCAACUUAUAAGCAGCUUGACUCGAGAGACACGCCACUCAUUCAUUCCAUCUGCUUAAAAUAAAGACAAAGCCCUUUUUUUUUUUUAUUAUUGAAAACCCUGAUCCCAAUUCCCAUCUCUUUAUUACUCACCUGAUCUGUUGAUAAUCUCUGGCAAGCCGGCAAAAAUGGCUGCUUUGUUAAACUGAUGGCACAGUGUGGAAGGAGUAAAGUAUCUUGUAGUUUUUUUUUCCUUUUUUUUCCAUUUCUACUGGAAGUAAUUACACGUUUGAUUCCACACAAUGUCAAGAGCUGAAUCGAGUGCUAAUUCUGCUUUUCCCCUUUUGCAAAUUAGGAUCUUCUAAAAUUGUAAAACAGGCAAGAGAAGAGGGGAAGUUAUCAAAUGAUUUCCUUGUGCUUUUGUGAGUGGUUUUUGAGUAGAGGAAAUUGAUUAAUUUUUUCUUCCUGACAUUGUUUUUUUUAUUUUGCGACAACAAUAAAUACAAAUGAAAUAUAGCUAAAAGAAAAUAAUGUUUUUAAAUUACAAGACGGUGCAACAUAUUCAUAUUUUUGAUAUUUUUAUGCACAAAAAAAGAGCCAUUUAUAUUAAUUUAACACUAAAAUAUAUAAAUAUUUUCCAACAAGAUGUUUAUUUAGCUUCUUAGCUAAUUUGCUCAUCACUAUGCAUCAGAGAAAUUGCACUGCUGUUGUUUUGUGUCAUUAUUAAUGCACACAGCAUGCCAUGCUUCCUACCAGGCUCCACUAGUUCAGUUUGUAAGUCGCAAGAUUAUAAAUGAACUUUUUGGACGUUUUUUGUAAUCUCUUUUAGGUUUAUAGCAAUAAAAACUAAAACGAUUAUAGUCUUGGAAUAGGAUAGUCUUCUCUAGAAAUUAGCCAAACAAAAAUAAAAUACAAAAAAAAAAAAA